GAUGAACGCUAGCUACAGGCUUAACACAUGCAAGUCGAGGGGUAACGAGAGGAAAGCUUGCUUUCCUUGUCGACGACCGGCGCACGGGUGAGUAACGCGUAUCCAACCUGCCCCCAACUAAGGAAUAACCUUGCGAAAGUAAGACUAAUACCUUAUAAUUUCCUCAGAUGUCAUCUGACGAGGAAUAAAGAUUUAUCGGUUGUGGAUGGGGAUGCGUCUGAUUAGCUUGUUGGCGGGGUAACGGCCCACCAAGGCAACGAUCAGUAGGGGUUCUGAGAGGAAGGUCCCCACAUUGGAACUGAGACACGGUCCAAACUCCUACGGGAGGCAGCAGUGAGGAAUAUUGAUCAAUGGGCGGAAGCCUGAACCAGCCAAGUAGCGUGCAGGAUGACGGCCCUAUGGGUUGUAAACUGCUUUUAUACAGGAAUAAAGUUAGCCACGUGUGGUUAUUUGUAGGUACUGUAUGAAUAAGGACCGGCUAAUUCCGUGCCAGCCGCCGCCGUAA
Molecule: ribosomal RNA, 505 nt
Filed under: uncultured bacterium
Lineage: Bacteria
Description: partial 16S ribosomal RNA
Rfam family: Bacterial small subunit ribosomal RNA
Source: RNAcentral